This 456-nucleotide ribosomal RNA is filed under the name uncultured bacterium. RNAcentral describes it as "bacterial SSU rRNA". It matches the Rfam family "Bacterial small subunit ribosomal RNA", at positions 64 to 507 of the family's 1533-position model. The record is from RNAcentral.
GAACGGCAGCAUGAAUUAGUUUACUAAUUUGAUGGCGAGUGGCGGACGGGUGAGUAACGCGUAGGAAUAUGUCUUAUAGAGGGGGACAACUUGGGGAAACUCAAGCUAAUACCGCAUGAACUCUGAGGAGGAAAGCUGGGGACCGCGAGGCCUGGCGCUAUAAGGGUAGCCUGCGUCCGAUUAGCUAGUUGGGGAGGUAAGAGCUCAUCCAAGGCGACGAUCGGUAGCUGGUCUGAGAGGAUGACCAGCCACACUGGGACUGAGAUACGGCCCAGACUCCUACGGGAGGCAGCAGUGGGGAAUAUUGGACAAUGGGGGGAACCCUGAUCCAGCAAUGCCGCGUGUGUGAAGAAGGCCUGCGGGUUGUAAAGCACUUUCAGUGGGGAGGAUGUUGUUAUAGGUUAAGAGCUAAUAAUGAUGACGUUACCCAGAGAAGAAGCACCGGCUAACUCCGUG